Daphnia pulicaria is the source of this 308-nucleotide long non-coding RNA. RefSeq lists it as uncharacterized. The record is from RefSeq and is a predicted model, not a curated record. Lineage: Eukaryota; Metazoa; Arthropoda; Branchiopoda; Diplostraca; Daphniidae. The transcript is spliced from 3 exons.
AAUUUAAGCAAUAUUUCGUACGGUCUUAUUGAAACUUAAGUAAGUGCUCUGAAAAUGGAUCAACCUCCUGAAGACCCAGAUUUAAAUGAGUCGAAAAAGAAAGAUGAAAAGAACGCCAAAAAGAUAUUGCAGCGGUUGGGUGAGCCUAAUAGAGGUUCAAACCUCAGACAACAAUCAAAUCUUUCAUUUUUCAAGCCCAAAGCUUCUCCCUGUUCUAAAACCCACAAGCCAAACUCUAGUUCAUAAGCUGCUGGUCAUCCAGCAGCUGCACCGCUGGAAGGCUUGGACUUGUUUCAGAAUGUUACGAA